CCAUGGUAUAAAAAAUGUAUAAAAAUUAUGAAAUAAUCACCUUUUUGUUAGUGCAAAUGCAUGCCCGGAAAUGAAAAAUGAUAUUGCUCGAGCAGACAAAGAUGCCUUUUGAAAAUUUUUUAUACAAGCGAUUUUGCAGAAAUUGGUUAUCAUCACUAUUGCUAAGAAGCCAUUAAAGCUCGACUCGUCCUGACAUUUUGGAACUUUUUAAAUUGAAAUGCAAACUACAUUUUGUGCAGCUAUGGAAUAUAUUAACGGAGUUGUUUUCAUUAAUAUCUACAGCCUGACGCACACCUUUUUUGUUUUUCUCUGAAUCACUUAAACAUUGUGUAUAUAGCAUAACGGCACUUCUAUAAAAAUUAAUAUGGCGCUUUCCUCUUUGCUGAUUUUAUACAAUUGGGAAUAUCUUCAA
Molecule: long non-coding RNA, 412 nt
Organism: Stomoxys calcitrans (stable fly)
Lineage: Eukaryota; Metazoa; Arthropoda; Insecta; Diptera; Muscidae
Exons: 4
Source: RefSeq, a predicted model, not a curated record